CAGCCAACCACUCAGGUGUCUCCAAAGCUAUUCUGACUGCUGCAGGUUCCACAGUCCAAGCAGAGUUAGCACAAGUGGGUGUGCCAGCAGACUGGAUGUGCACCACAGGGCCCGGUGCACUGGGCUGCAAGGAGAUCGUUCACGUCUGCUUUAA
Molecule: long non-coding RNA, 154 nt
Organism: Coregonus clupeaformis (lake whitefish)
Lineage: Eukaryota; Metazoa; Chordata; Actinopteri; Salmoniformes; Salmonidae
Exons: 3
Source: RefSeq, a predicted model, not a curated record